This 351-nucleotide ribosomal RNA is filed under the name Clostridioides difficile DA00310. Its description in RNAcentral is "partial 23S ribosomal RNA". The stretch from base 1 to 102 matches the Rfam family "Bacterial small subunit ribosomal RNA", at positions 1432 to 1533 of the family's 1533-position model. Lineage: Bacteria; Bacillati; Bacillota; Clostridia; Peptostreptococcales; Peptostreptococcaceae. The record is from RNAcentral.
UAUCUAACCUUUUGGAAGAAGUCGUCGAAGGUGGAAUCAAUAACUGGGGUGAAGUCGUAACAAGGUAGCCGUAUCGGAAGGUGCGGCUGGGUCACCUCCUUUCUAAGGAGAAUUGCCUACUGUUUAAUUUUGAAAGUUCUUUACGAACUUUAUAUAUGGGGGUGUAGCUCAGUUGGGAGAGCACUUGCCUUGCAAGCAAGGGGUCAGGAGUUCGACUCUCCUCAUCUCCACCAUUUAAGAGUAUAUUACUUAAAUCUUUGAUUUACUUAGUAGCCUCUUACAAUGCACUUAUAGCUUAAAUUUAUACAAGCUUUGUGUGUUAGCACUUUAAGCAACAGAAUAAACUGAACG